UGGGGAAUAUUGCACAAUGGAGGGAACUCUGAUGCAGCGACGCCGCGUGAGUGAUGAAGGAAUUCGUUUCGUAAAACUCUGUUCUAUGGGAAGAAAAGGACUGUACCAUAGGAGAAAGCUCCGGCUAAAUACGUGCCAGCAGCCGCGGUAAUACGUAUGGAGCGAGCGUUGUCCGGAAUUAUUGGGCGUAAAGGGUGCGCAGGCGGCUUUACAAGUUGGAUGUGAAAUAUUGUGGCUCAACCACAAACGUGCAUCCAAAACUGCAAAGCUUGAGUUAAGGAGAGGUAAGUGGAAUUCCUUGUGGAGCGGUGGGAAGCGGAGAUAUCAGGGGGGAUACCGGUGGCGAAGGCGACUUACUGGGCUUAAACUGACGCUCAGGCACGAAAGCGUGGGGAGCAAACAGG
Molecule: ribosomal RNA, 404 nt
Filed under: Fusobacteriota bacterium
Lineage: Bacteria; Fusobacteriati; Fusobacteriota
Description: Fusobacteria bacterium partial 16S ribosomal RNA
Rfam family: Bacterial small subunit ribosomal RNA
Source: RNAcentral